CCUACGGGAGGCAGCAGUCGGGAAUUUUGGGCAAUGGGCGAAAGCCUGACCCAGCAACGCCGCGUGAAGGAUGAAAUCCCUCGGGAUGUAAACUUCGCAAGAACGGGAAGAAUAAGUAAGAGUUAACAUCUCUUAUGAUGACGGUACUGUUUGUAAGCUCCGGCUAACUCCGUGCCAGCAGCCGCGGUAAU
This 191-nucleotide ribosomal RNA is filed under the name uncultured bacterium. RNAcentral describes it as "partial 16S ribosomal RNA". It matches the Rfam family "Bacterial small subunit ribosomal RNA", at positions 338 to 524 of the family's 1533-position model. The record is from RNAcentral.